GCGUGAAUGAAGAAGGCCUUAGGGUUGUAAAGUUCUUUCACCCGUGAAGAUGAUGACGGUAACGGGAGAAGAAGCCCCGGCUAACUCCGUGCCAGCAGCCGCGGUAAUACGGAGGGGGCAAGCGUUGUUCGGAAUUACUGGGCGUAAAGGGCGCGCAGGCGGCGUUGUUAGUCAGGUGUGAAAUCCCCGGGCUCAACCUGGGAACUGCACUUGAUACUGCGAUGCUGGAGUUCGGAAGAGGGUAGUGGAAUUCCCAGUGUAGAGGUGAAAUUCGU
This 275-nucleotide ribosomal RNA is filed under the name uncultured bacterium. RNAcentral describes it as "partial 16S ribosomal RNA". It matches the Rfam family "Bacterial small subunit ribosomal RNA", at positions 399 to 691 of the family's 1533-position model. The record is from RNAcentral.